Molecule: non-coding RNA, 21 nt
Filed under: Caenorhabditis elegans
Lineage: Eukaryota; Metazoa; Nematoda; Chromadorea; Rhabditida; Rhabditidae
Source: RNAcentral
UAAUUCUUCACAGUCCUUAAA